AGCAGACACCAACGGCUACCAGUACAAGGUAGGACCUCUUGAGCCUCUCCCACAUUCACACUGGAAUGCUGACUGGCUUAAUCUCAUCCAGAUCUCUCCCAGUUCCUCAAGCAGAAGACAGGUAAACUCUACAGCAACUGUUGGCAGGGAGUGUGCUACCACUAUCCUGUUCCUGGGAAGGAGCUCAGAGGAACACACGCCUGGAAUCUGCACAGCACAUGGAAACUUCUCUCAGAAUUGCAGCAACUGAGCUGUGGGUUUAGUUCCUUUAUAACCAAAGGACCAUGUUCUGCUUCCAAGUCAGCCUCGACAGUGUGACCAGCCUGCUCGUUCUCCGGCCAACACACACUGAGGCAUUGCGGCAGCUGUGGCAUCUACGACAAACUUAAAUCCCCUGAAAUCAGGAGCUAUCUCUCCCUCAAACUGCCUUUGUCAAGUAUUGUGUUUCUGUCACAAGAAAAGUAACUGAUAUAAAUACAUUUCACUCCCAACUCUCA
Non-coding RNA from Myodes glareolus (Bank vole), 497 nucleotides. Lineage: Eukaryota; Metazoa; Chordata; Mammalia; Rodentia; Cricetidae. The record is from RefSeq and is a predicted model, not a curated record.